Molecule: RNA transcript, 3149 nt
Organism: Stomoxys calcitrans (stable fly)
Lineage: Eukaryota; Metazoa; Arthropoda; Insecta; Diptera; Muscidae
Gene: Rip11
Gene name: rab11 family-interacting protein 5
Exons: 7
Source: RefSeq, a predicted model, not a curated record
UAUUUGUGAAUAAAAGAAAAAGAAGAUAAGGUGCAAAAAAUCCUAGGUGAAAACAAUUGGUUGAUCCAUUCAGCUACAAUAAACAAAAGAAAAAAAGUCGACUCGCCACUUUAUGAUAGUACCAUCAAGGUAAAUUUAUAAUCAACGAACGAGAGGGGGACCAACAACAACACAUCAGUAGUAUCCAACACAACAUCACACACACCAGCAACAAGAAUGUGGAGCCCCACACACAUUAAAGUGACAAUACGAGCCGCCCGAGGUCUGCUAUGUAAGGGCAAAAAUAAUACCAACAACUGUUUUGUCACCAUAGCCUUGGGAAAAGAAAAAUAUCAGACUUCUGUAAAGGAAAAAGCCGAGAGCAAUGUAAGCUGGAACGAAGAAUGUGAACUGAAAAUUCCAGAUCAAGGCAACAGAGCUGAAUUGGUUUUAACAUGUCUGCAUCGCAACAACUUGGCCAUCGAUGAAUUCCUGGGCCAAGUUACUCUGCCCCUCAAUGAGAUGGAUGCCUAUGAUCGUGUGCGGGCGAAAUGGUAUAAAUUGGAAAGCAAACCGGGUAAAGAGAAAAAGAACAAAGAUCGCGGUGAAUUGGACGUUUUGAUAUCGUUCACCGUCAAAUCGGGUUCCCUGACCGAUUUGAGUAAGAAAGAGAAACACAAGUCUUCCAUAGGUCAAUUGGCAUCGUCCGUGGGUGGGAGUUUACUGUCAAUUGGCACAAUAGAAAAACGCAAAGGUAUCAAGAAAAUUGCCAAAAAAUUCGGUUCCAAACUGCACUUGCCUGGAAGCAAAAAGAAGAAUCAGGAGGACGAUAAUCUUUCAUAUACGGGCUCGUUUGCCAGCAUUGGCACUCCAAACCGCAUUCGGGUGCAGGACAGUGAUGAGGAAGAUGAUUUCCAAUUUGAUAAAUUAUCACAGAAGAGUUCGGUUAGUUCUCUCAAUUUACGCGACAGUCUUCACACACCAUCGACAAAUUAUGCGCCAAAAAAUCCUUCGCCUCUAAUGGGUUCCACCGGUAAAGGUAAGGACCAUCUAAGAUACGAUGGAUCAGACAACCUCAGUGUGGAUCCGGAAUUGGAGGAAAUUGAAAAUGAAAUUAGUAUUAGAGCCCGUACUUUACCGCCUCCAUCGAAACCUCCACGCACGCCUCAAAUGGAUACAGGUGGUGACAUUAGGCUAAAUGGCAGACACAACAACGAGCUGGAUGAAUGGGAAUCAAAGUUGUAUGGCCGCAGUGCGGACAGUGGAAAUUCCGAUUCGUUGAAACGCAGGUCUUGGGAACCGGUGGCUGUUCCCCUUUCAUCGUCGAUUGUUGAUGAGGAGACCACUACUGUAGAAGAGCCAGAAACCAUAAGCAAAUCUGUACUUCCCCCCCUAAGGGAGGCCAAUACUCCGGAAACUCUAAGUGACAGUUCGUCAAGCAGUGAUUCUGAGCCAGAAGAGCCUACCCAACUACCUGAACCCCCCAAAAAAGUGGAGCUUGAGGUUUUCCCCGAAGUUAACUCUCAAACUCCCAAAAAACCUACAGAUCUCUUGCUUACCCCUUCGAUUAAUGCCAAUGGUCAUGGUAAUAGAAAGGAUUCUUUGCUGUCACCCGAUGAAGAGAAGAAUGAGUUUGCCAAAUUUAAUGCUACUUUUGCAAAAUUCGAACAAAAACAUGGUGCUAAGGUCUUUGAUAUCGAAGAGGAGACGAACAAUUUCCUAAAGAGCGAGUCAAGAGCCUCAACCAAGUCCCAAUCGCCCCCACAGCCUAAACCCAGGCCCAGAAAUGCAGCCUCUCUAGAAAAAGAGGAGAAAUUGAAAUCUGAGGAAGAGGAGAGACAGCGUCUUCAACGGGCGGCCGAAGAUGCUAAGCUUGAGGCUGAACUACGAGCCAACGAAGAACGCUUGCGCAAUGAGGAGCAAGCUCUGCAAAAGGAAUUGGCCGAGCGUGAAGAAGAAAAAAGACGCGAGGCCAAGCGCCGUGAGGAAGAUCUAAGGAUACUGAAUUUCUCCAAACGUCUGGUGUCCCAAGAAGACCAGGAACAGCCAGCAGUGGUGCCUGAAAUAAAACCUACAGAACAAAAGGAGGAGAAGAAAGACGUGGCCAGAGAACGUCCCGUGUUGAGCUUCAACCACCGAGAAAAACCACAACCUGUAAGUACAGUGUCUACACCUAGUCCAAAAACCAAUGAACGUAUUAUCAUCGGUCAUGAAAAGUCUUCUACGCAGGCGGAGAGACGUGCCGAAAUUUCAGCAGCUUUAGCCAAAAAAUAUGAGGGCAAAUCGCGAGAGGAACUUAUGCUAAUUGCCAAUGGCAUGGAGAAUGAAGCUUUGCUGCAGCGGCAACGUGUAAAAGAACUAGAAGACUAUCUGGAUAACUUGCUAUUAAGGGUGAUGGAAACUCAGCCAAAAUUAUUGCAAAAUCCCUAUUCACGUACCACAUCGGCCAAAAGUUUUAAAAAUUACAUCAAUAUGAACGAUUUUUUGUAAGAAAAUGAGAAAAAACUAAGAUGCACGCUUAAAAAUUACAUACUCGUACAACAACAACAGCUACUACCAUUUCUCUGAAUAUGCAUGUGAACAGAGAAUUCGAAGCUCUCGCAAUAUAAAAAAGGCACAAUGGUUGAAAGUGUUUCCCUUUUUGCCUUUCUUUCAAAGAAGUCCAUCCAUCUAAUGUAGAAACUAAUGUUGGUUUUUUAUGAUAUUUACCAUGGAAAACAUCACAACAAUGUGAGUAGCAAUUAAAACUUAAUUGCGACUCAGACAUCACCACAAGUUGCCUUCGAAGUGCAAAAAAAGAAAAACUGAAAAAACCUAAAGUGCUUUUUUGUAAAUUUGUUGAGAUCUUUGAUAUUUACAUAGAUACAGUUACAUAACUACCAUGAUUUAUAAAAAUAUUAAAAUAAUUAUUAUAUACUUAUACACAUAAAAUUCUACUAAAACUUACUUAUAUAUGAAAAAAUUAUACAUUAUACAAAUUGAAGAUUUUAUUGAAAUUACAUUUUAUAUUUUAACAAAUCCUCAUGUCGUCCCUUAUAGCCUUUAAAAAGGAACCAUAGAACACAACAUCAUUUACUGUUGUAUUUUAUUUUUCCCAUAAAGUAUUUGAUGAACAUUUUGAUUUAAAAGAUCACAAAUUACAAAGGCAAAACAACCCAUGAGUACGGGAG